AUACUGAGGGUGCAAGCGUUAAUCGGAAUUACUGGGCGUAAAGCGCACGUAGGCGGUUUAUUAAGUCAGAUGUGAAAGCCCUGGGCUUAACCUGGGAACUGCAUUUGAGACUGGUAGGCUAGAGUAUGGUAGAGGCUAGUGGAAUUCCGGGUGUAGCGGUGAAAUGCGUAGAUAUCCGGAGGAACAUCAGUGGCGAAGGCGGCUAUCUGGACCAAUACUGACGCUGAGGUGCGAAAGCGUGGGGAGCAAACAGGAUUAGAUACCCUAGUAGUCC
RNAcentral lists this ribosomal RNA (274 nucleotides) under uncultured bacterium. Its description in RNAcentral is "partial 16S ribosomal RNA". It matches the Rfam family "Bacterial small subunit ribosomal RNA", at positions 523 to 796 of the family's 1533-position model. The record is from RNAcentral.